GUUGCCCCUAAAAAUCUUCUUUUUAUCAAAUUUUAUUACAUUUUGAAGCGGCACAGAAGCCAGAAAACGCCCGGUGUUUAUGUUUGACGCCGGAAGCAUACCUAUGACGUCACCUAGUGUAGGGACCAAAGAAGAUAACAUCUUUUCGCGGAAUUUUCUUUAAUGAAGAUUUUACACUGAAAUAAUGAUUGAAAUUUAAUUAUGAACUUGUUUUGCAUUAGAAUAGAGAUAACUGUAUUGUAUUUGAAGCUUUGCGGACGUCCAUCGGUAGUUUUACUGUCGCAAAUACCCGUUUACCUGUCUCCGCUCCGCGUCGCCAGGUAAACUUAAUUUGCGACAGUAAAACUACCGAUGGACGUCCUUAAAGCUUCAAAUACAAUACAGUUAUCUCUUAAGUAUAC
This 401-nucleotide long non-coding RNA is filed under the name Mytilus galloprovincialis (Mediterranean mussel). The record is from RNAcentral. Lineage: Eukaryota; Metazoa; Mollusca; Bivalvia; Mytilida; Mytilidae.